This is a transfer RNA of 73 nucleotides. It matches the Rfam family "tRNA". From Rfam's summary of the family: Transfer RNA (tRNA) molecules are approximately 80 nucleotides in length. Their secondary structure includes four short double-helical elements and three loops (D, anti-codon, and T loops). The record is from Rfam.
GGCCUCUAGGCCUAGUUGGCGAGGCGCCUGUUUCGUAAGCGGGAGAUGGCGGGUUCAAUUCCCGUAGCGGCCA